This 180-nucleotide ribosomal RNA is filed under the name uncultured bacterium. RNAcentral's name for it is "partial 16S ribosomal RNA". It matches the Rfam family "Bacterial small subunit ribosomal RNA", at positions 1314 to 1500 of the family's 1533-position model. The record is from RNAcentral.
GACUACAUGAAGCCGGAAUCGCUAGUAAUCGCGAAUCAGCCAUGGCGCGGUGAAUACGUUCCCGGGGCCUUGUACACACCGCCCGUCAAGCCAUGGGAGCCGGGGGCGCCUGAAGUCCGGGACCGCGAGGACCGGCCUAGGGCGAAACUGGUAACUGGGGCUAAGUCGUAACAAGGUAGC